CCAUCAGAACUCCGCAGUUAAGUGUGCUUACGUGAGAGUAGUACUAGGAUGGGUGACCUCCUGGGAAGCCCUCGUGUUGCACCUCCUCCCUUUUU
Molecule: ribosomal RNA, 95 nt
Filed under: Scilla scilloides (Japanese jacinth)
Lineage: Eukaryota; Viridiplantae; Streptophyta; Magnoliopsida; Asparagales; Asparagaceae
Source: RNAcentral